Desulfitobacterium metallireducens DSM 15288 is the source of this 2915-nucleotide ribosomal RNA. It matches the Rfam family "Bacterial large subunit ribosomal RNA". Lineage: Bacteria; Bacillati; Bacillota; Clostridia; Eubacteriales; Desulfitobacteriaceae. The record is from Rfam.
GGUCAAGCUACUAAGGGCGUACGGUGGAUGCCUAGGCGCUAAGAGUCGAAGAAGGGCGCGGUUAACAGCGAAAUGCCACGGGGAGCAGUAAGCAUGCAUUGAUCCGUGGAUACCCGAAUGGGGCAACCCCAUUGGAGUUAUAUCCAAUGAUCUUUAACUGAAUAGAUAGGUUAAAGAGGACAACCCGGGGAACUGAAACAUCUAAGUACCCGGAGGAAGAGAAAGAAUAAUCGAUUCCCUGAGUAGCGGCGAGCGAAACGGGAAGAGCCCAAACCAAGCUCUUCGGAGCUUGGGGUUGUAGGACCCUCUAUUAAGCAUUAAUUCUUAGCUGAAGAAAUCUGGAAAGAUUCAGCAAAGAAGGUAACACUCCUGUAAGCGAAAAGAAGAAAUGCUGUGAGGGUAUCCUGAGUACCGCGGGACACGAGAAACCCCGUGGGAAACCGGGAGGACCACCUCCCAAGGCUAAAUACUCCUUAGCGACCGAUAGUGAACCAGUACCGUGAGGGAAAGGUGAAAAGCACCCCGGGAGGGGAGUGAAAAAGAACCUGAAACCGUACGCUUACAAGCAGUCAAAGCACCCUUGAGGUGUGAUGGCGUGCCUUUUGUAGAAUGAACCGGCGAGUUACGGUAUGUAGCGAGGUUAAAGCGAGAAGCUGGAGCCGAAGCGAAAGCGAGUCUGAAAAGGGCGACAAGUUACAUGCUGUAGACCCGAAACCGUGUGAUCUACCCAUGGUCAGGGUGAAGGUGGGGUAAAACCUACUGGAGGCCCGAACUCACUGUCGUUGAAAAGGCAAGGGAUGAACUGUGGGUAGGGGUGAAAUGCCAAUCGAACACGGAGAUAGCUGGUUCUCCCCGAAAUAGCUUUAGGGCUAGCCUCAAUUGAUGAUUCUUGGCGGUAAAGCACUGAAUAGGCUAGGGGCCUUACCGGGUUACCGAACCUUAUCAAACUCUGAAUGCCAAGAAUUUAGAUUGGGAGUCAGACUGUGGGGGAUAAGCUUCAUAGUCAAAAGGGAAACAGCCCAGACCAUCAGCUAAGGUCCCAAAGUAUACGCUAAGUGGAAAAGGAUGUGGAAUUGCACAGACAACCAGGAUGUUGGCUCAGAAGCAGCCACCAUUUAAAGAGUGCGUAAUAGCUCACUGGUCGAGUGGUUCUGCGCCGAAAAUGUAACGGGGCUCAAGCGUAUCACCGAAGCUAUGGCUUUACAGUUUACUGUAAGGGGUAGGGGAGCGUUCCAAGGUCAGCGAAGUUCAACUGGAAGGUUGGGUGGAGAGCUUGGAAGUGAGAAUGCCGGUAUGAGUAUGCGAAAAGGUGAGUGAGAAUCUCACCCGCCGAAAAUCUAAGGUUUCCUGGGGAAGGCUCGUCCGCCCAGGGUCAGUCGGGACCUAAGCCGAGGCCGAAAGGCGUAGGUGAUGGACAACUGGUGGAUAUUCCAGUACCUCUCUUAAACGUUAUUAGCGAUGGGGUGACACAGAAGGAUAGGUUAAGCGUGCCGUUGGUUGAGCACGCCCAAGCCCGUAGGGUGUGAGGCAGGUAAAUCCGUCUUACGCGUUGCCUGAAAGGUAAUGGGGAGCGAAAAUAAGUAGCGAAGUAACCGACUCCAAGCUGUCAAGAAAAGCCUCUAGUGAGUGAGAGAGAGCCCGUACCGCAAACCGACACAGGUAGAUAAGGAGAGAAUCCUAAGGCGCGCGAGAAAACCCUCGUUAAGGAACUCGGCAAAAUAGCCCCGUAACUUCGGGAGAAGGGGCGCUCUUCGCAAGAAGAGCCGCAGAGAAAUGGUCCAGGCGACUGUUUAACAAAAACACAGGUUCCUGCCAAUCUGAAAAGAGAAGUAUAGGAGCUGACGCCUGCCCGGUGCUGGAAGGUUAAGAGGAGAGGUUAGCCGCAAGGCGAAGCUUUGAAUUGAAGCCCCAGUAAACGGCGGCCGUAACUAUAACGGUCCUAAGGUAGCGAAAUUCCUUGUCAGGUAAGUUCUGACCCGCACGAAAGGCGUAACGAUCUGGACACUGUCUCAACGAGGGACUCGGCGAAAUUGUAAUACCCGUGAAGAUGCGGGUUACCUGCGACAGGACAGAAAGACCCCAUGGAGCUUUACUGUAGCUUGACAUUGGAUUUUGGUAUAAAAUGUACAGGAUAGGUGGGAGACUAAGAAGCUAGGGCGCCAGCCUUGGUGGAGUCGCCGGUGGGAUACCACUCUUUUUGUACUGAAAUUCUAACUUAGACCCCUGAAUCGGGGUUGAGGACCGUGUCAGGUGGGCAGUUUGACUGGGGCGGUCGCCUCCUAAAGAGUAACGGAGGCGCCCAAAGGUUCCCUCAGCGCGGAUGGAAAUCGCGCGAAGAGUGUAAAGGCAAAAGGGAGCUUGACUGCGAGACCAACAAGUCGAGCAGGGACGAAAGUCGGGCUUAGUGAUCCGGUGGUACCGAGUGGAAGGGCCAUCGCUCAACGGAUAAAAGCUACCCUGGGGAUAACAGGCUUAUCUCCCCCAAGAGUCCAUAUCGACGGGGAGGUUUGGCACCUCGAUGUCGGCUCAUCGCAUCCUGGGGCUGUAGUAGGUCCCAAGGGUUGGGCUGUUCGCCCAUUAAAGCGGUACGUGAGCUGGGUUCAGAACGUCGUGAGACAGUUCGGUCCCUAUCCGUCGCAGGCGCAGGAAAUUUGAGGGGAGCUGACCCUAGUACGAGAGGACCGGGUUGGACGGAUCACUGGUGUACCAGUUGUCUCGCCAGAGGCAUAGCUGGGUAGCUAUAUCCGGAUCGGAUAAGCGCUGAAAGCAUCUAAGCGCGAAACCGACCUCAAGAUGAGAUUUCCCACAGCACAAGCUGGUAAGACCCCUGAAAGAUGAUCAGGUAGAUAGGCCCAAUGUGGAAGCGCGGUGACGUGUGGAGCUGACGGGUACUAAUCGGUCGAGGGCUUGACCUA